GUCCACCGCGCUUCACACCACGAGUAUUUGUCACACCCGUAACUCGGUGGGGAUAACCUUUUACGGGCCAUCCGCCUGAGGUGGGACAGAUGAUUGGGGUGAAGUCGUAACAAGGGUAACCGAUAGAAUUCCCCGUGUAGCGGUGAAAUGCGUAGAUAUGUGGGAGGGAACACCCAGUGGGCGAAGGCGACUUUUCUGGGUCUGUAACUGACGCUGAAGCCGCGAAAGCGUGGGGGGAGCAAACAGGGAUUUAGAUACCCCUGGGUAGUCCCACCGCCCGUAAAACGAUGGAGUUGCUUAAAGUGUUUAGGGGGGGUUUCCCGCCCCCUUUAGUGGCU
RNAcentral lists this ribosomal RNA (338 nucleotides) under bacterium HB-67. Its description in RNAcentral is "partial 16S ribosomal RNA". The record is from RNAcentral.